GACGAACGCUGGCGGCGUGCUUAACACAUGCAAGUCGAACGGAAAGGCCCUGCUUUUGUGGGGUGCUCGAGUGGCGAACGGGUGAGUAACACGUGAGUAACCUGCCCUUGACUUUGGGAUAACUUCAGGAAACUGGGGCUAAUACCGGAUAGGAGCUCCUGCUGCAUGGUGGGGGUUGGAAAGUUUCGGCGGUUGGGGAGGGACUCGCGGCUUAUCAGCUUGUUGGUGGGGUAGUGGCUUACCAAGGCUUUGACGGGUAGCCGGCCUGAGAGGGUGACCGGCCGCAUUGGGACUGAGAUACGGCCCAGACUCCUACGGGAGGCAGCAGUGGGGAAUAUUGCACAAUGGGCGGAAGCCUGAUGCAGCAACGCCGCGUGCGGGAUGACGGCCUUCGGGUUGUAAACCGCUUUCGCCUGUGACGAAGCGUGAGUGACGGUAAUGGGUAAAGAAGCACCGGCUAACUACGUG
RNAcentral lists this ribosomal RNA (468 nucleotides) under uncultured bacterium. Its description in RNAcentral is "partial 16S ribosomal RNA". It matches the Rfam family "Bacterial small subunit ribosomal RNA", at positions 28 to 507 of the family's 1533-position model. The record is from RNAcentral.